AUCCCACCUCUGGGAGGCCUUGAGCAAGUCACUGGAGCACCCCCAGAACCUGCCUUGGCUCCACUGCCGUAGGACAGGGGUCUCUCUGCUCCCAGUGCAGAACCCCUCCCGGGACCAGGCAUAAGACUGACUGGAACACAGUGGCAUCAUUUGACACAGCCUGGGAUCCAAGUGGCUCUCAAGAGUGGAGCUACCUGGAAUGCUUUUGACAGCCAGUUGCAGCUUUAUUUGCAGCCUAGGCAUCCACACCAUUUGUAGUGCCUCAAAACAAUGUAAUGUGGGAUUAUGGGCUUUAGCCCUUGAGUAUGCUGGGGGCCCAGGUACCCAGAAUCUUCCUAACACGCACACUUCUGAAUUGCAAAGCCACUGUGUCCUCAGUGGUGCAGGUAGGAGUCGUGGACCUGAACAGGGUACUUUUCACAUCAGGACCUAUCACUUGCACCCCCACCCCAUGUACUGGCAUGGGCGGCUUUGCCAACAGGCUCUCUUGUCAGGGGGAGAGAACCUUCUGUCUCAUCAGGCCAGCCUCAGCCAACAUCUGUGUGAGUGCUGGUGGUCUGCCUCUAACCACAGCGAGAUGUUCUUUGCCCACCAGGUCGACAAAUGCUACAAGUGCAUCAUCAAGCAGGGCCAGAGCCUCUUCAUUCCCUCAGGCACUGACAGAACUCUCAUGGGCCCCAAGGUGUGCAGCCACCCAGGGGCAAUUGUCGCCUGGUCCACCUCAGCUAUACAGGGCCCUGUGGGGAAGCCUGAACUGGCGUGCCUGGGACCUGGAUCCACCCCCAGCAUUACCUGCUUGAUGGUCAGUGCACUGAAAGCGGCUAUUUGGUGGCUUCCAGAGCAUAUGAAGUGUAAAGGAUG
RNAcentral lists this long non-coding RNA (861 nucleotides) under Cercocebus atys (sooty mangabey). RNAcentral describes it as "lncRNA (ENSCATG00000045434.1)". The record is from RNAcentral. Lineage: Eukaryota; Metazoa; Chordata; Mammalia; Primates; Cercopithecidae.